Molecule: unclassified non-coding RNA, 26 nt
Filed under: Mus musculus (house mouse)
Lineage: Eukaryota; Metazoa; Chordata; Mammalia; Rodentia; Muridae
Description: oocyte_clustered_small_RNA6493
Source: RNAcentral
UGAGAAGUUCUGUAGGAGUAUGAAAG